CUACCUCUGUCAUGGCCUGCAGCAAACAUUUCUUUUCUUUCAAAGACUUGAUACAAGUCAAAAGAUUUAACACUAGUCAAAGGGAGUAGAGGAGUAGGAAAUUAGAAACCCUCAGAAAAAGCCAGACACAAUUGUCAUGAAAACCUUUCUCCAAAAUAGUAUAGGUUAAAUUUACAAUUGCUUUUGGUCUCCACCCCUGCCCCAGGAAACUCAAAGAAGCCUUCAGGCCAAGGAUAGAAGAUCUGCUCUACAUGGAACACAAUAUUUUAAUGUUUAAAAAUAUGUUUUCUGUGAAUAAUAAAUCCUGGCUAAAACAGCUUUCCCAGCUGGCGUGUAAAUUACAAUGUUGUGUCGUCGGUGCUAGAUAUCAGCAGAGUGCUGCUGUCUGCAGUCAACUCACCUAGUUUCGCCAAUGUAUACUGGCUCAAGAACAGCCUGUCAAGUCGCAGCAUAUUUCAAACUCUUGCUU
Athene cunicularia (burrowing owl) is the source of this 469-nucleotide long non-coding RNA. RefSeq lists it as uncharacterized. The record is from RefSeq and is a predicted model, not a curated record. Lineage: Eukaryota; Metazoa; Chordata; Aves; Strigiformes; Strigidae. The transcript is spliced from 3 exons.